AAACUGUAUUGGUACUUAGUGAAUUUGCGUUUAUUGUUAUAUUUACAGUGUAACUUAAUUAGCAGCGUCCUCCUUAAAUGCGCCAACAACAUUGAGAGUAACGUCCUCCUCUCUGCCCCUUAAUGCUCUCCGGUCGCUAUGGUAACGCGUAAAUAUUUCUUUCAAAAUAAGACACACAACUACAACACGGGAAAAGACCCAGGGAAAAUGAGUUAACGAUAAAAACCCUGAAAACCAUAAAUUUCACACCCGAACCUCAACUCUCACGGCCCCGUACCAAACGGCCCGGGUGUUGGGGGCCGCUGUAGGCUACUAACAGAGACUUGAAUGAGAGACCUAAUGUUUAAUAAUCCACAUUGCACUGUUUUACUCUGUGGUGGAGAUGUGGAUACUGUAUUGUUCUUUCUUUGUGAUUUUGUUUUUUAUGUUUAAAUCGUUUUUUGCUGGUUUUUAGUUUGUUUUUUGUCUGUUUUGCAGCUGACACAGGGGGGUGGAGAUUUGGGGGCAUAAUAGGUCCACUGUUUAUAAAGAUUUAUUGAGAUAUUUAAACUUGUUAGCAUUCAUCUAUCACACAAUAAAUGCAAUUAAUUUUUUCCGAUAUAUCCAACACCAACAGCUUUAUAUUUAAAACUGUCCCUGCCUGUCCUCACCCCCACCAAUUACUUUUUUCACUCAAUUAUGGAUGGCUCUGGUUCAACUCUUUUGAAAGAGUGUACUCCACAGAAUGAUCUGAAACUGAGUCAUGUUAUGUGACUCCUUCAAAAAAAAAAAAAAAAAACAUGCUAUGAACUUUUUAAAGAUAAUUACUUCCUGUAGGACUGCUAGCAAAAUACGCCAUCAGAGGUUACAACAGAACAUUUCUGAUGCAAUCCAGCUGUGCCCUCUGUUCGUAGCCUAAUUGCUCAACACCAUGAUUAGUCAUCAUUUUACAUAGACAAGUUUUGUUUUUUUUUUGUUUUUUAAUGAAUUAAUACUGCACUUAAGUGUGUUUGGAGCUACUUUUACUGUUUUACUUUGUUCUCUAAUACUUUAUAAUUAAAUAUUGCAUGCUUAGGGAGUUACUUUUUUAAAUAACUGUAUCUUUUCAUACUGUGUCUCUAUGGAUGUUAGACAAGAGCUCUAUAUAAGUACCAUUUACUAUAUCUAUACAUCAAGGAAGCAGAUUGUCUGAAUCUGCGUGACAUGGUGCGUUAUCUCUCUGUAAGCAGUCAUCAGGAGAUCGGUACGCUCAGUCACUUGAACCGCUGCUACAAGACUAUAUGGAUCCAUGUCUUCAUGCCACACCAAAUUCUGAACGUUGCAGAAGAAAUGGAGACCCAUCACGCCAAGCAAUGUUUUUCCCAGUCUUUUAUUUUCCUACGUUUGUGAGGCUGUGUGAGCUCUAGGCUCAGUUUGCUGCUGUUAGCUGACAGGAGC
Astatotilapia calliptera (eastern happy) is the source of this 1416-nucleotide long non-coding RNA. The record is from Ensembl. NCBI's taxonomy places the organism in Eukaryota, Metazoa, Chordata, Actinopteri, Cichliformes, Cichlidae.